AGAAUCAACGCUGGCGGCGUGCCUAACACAUGCAAGUCGAACGAGAAAGUGGAGCAAUCCAUGAGUACAGUGGCGUACGGGUGAGUAACACGUGACUACCUACCCUCGAGUGGGGAAUAACCUCGGGAAACCGGGGCUAAUACCGCAUAACAUCUACGGAUCAAAUGCGUAAGCAGCUUGAGGAGGGGGUCGCGGCCGAUUAGCUAGUUGGUGAGGUAAUGGCUCACCAAGGCAAUGAUCGGUA
This 244-nucleotide ribosomal RNA is filed under the name uncultured bacterium. RNAcentral's name for it is "partial small subunit ribosomal RNA". It matches the Rfam family "Bacterial small subunit ribosomal RNA", at positions 26 to 285 of the family's 1533-position model. The record is from RNAcentral.